RNAcentral lists this long non-coding RNA (836 nucleotides) under Ficedula albicollis (Collared flycatcher). RNAcentral describes it as "lncRNA (ENSFALG00000026005.1)". Lineage: Eukaryota; Metazoa; Chordata; Aves; Passeriformes; Muscicapidae. The record is from RNAcentral.
GCUGAACUCGGAGAGCCUCUCCCCGCAGCUGCUUUCGCUGCUGCAUCUCUGCAGAUCAUCAAUAUUCAUGUGCUUCAUCAGCAGAGCCGCUGGAAAGAGCCCUGGGAAUGCUGAGCGGGAUCCGGCUCGGGAAAAUCCUUCGCUGUGGGGUCAGGGAGGCGAGUGUUUGCCACGAGAGGGGGAUGCGAGCCCGCGGAGGGAGGGCAAGCGCGGGGGCUGGGGUGGCUCGGGGUUUGCCAGGGAUGGCUUGCCAGGGGUGGCUCAGGGUUUGCCAGGGGUGGUAUAGGGUUUGUUCAGGGUUUGCCAGGGAUAGUUUAAGGUUUGCCAGGGAUGGUUUGCCAGGGAUGGUUUAGGGUUUGUUCAGGGUUUGUCAGGGAUGGUUCAGGGUUUGUCAGGGGUGGUUUAGGGUUUGUCAGGAAUGAUUCAGUGUUUGUCAAGAGUGGUUUAGGGUUUGUCAGGGGUGGUUCAGGGUUUGUCAGGAAUGAUUCAGUGUUUGUCAAGAGUGGUUUAGGGUUUGUCAGGGAUGGUUCAGGGUUUGUCAGGGGUGGUUCAGGGUUUGUCAGGAAUGAUUCAGUGUUUGUCAAGAGUGGUUUAGGGUUUGUCAGGGAUGGUUCAUGGUUUGUCAGGAGUGGUUCAGGAUUUGCCAGGGAUGGUUUAGGGUUUGUUCAGGGUUUGUCAGGGAUGGUUCAGGGUUUGUCAGGGGUGGUUCAGGGUUUGUCAGGAAUGAUUCAGUGUUUGUCAAGAGUGGUUUAGGGUUUGUCAGGGAUGGUUCAGGGUUUGUCAGGGGUGGUUCAGGGUUUGUCAGGAAUGAUUCAGUGUUUGUCAAGAGUGGUUUA